AGGAGAGUUUGAUCCUGGCUCAGGAUGAACGCUAGCUACAGGCUUAACACAUGCAAGUCGAGGGGCAGCAUGAUCGAAGCUUGCUUUGAUUGAUGGCGACCGGCGCACGGGUGAGUAACGCGUAUCCAACCUUCCCUAUAGUAGAGGAUAGCCCGGCGAAAGUCGGAUUAAUACUCUAUGUUUUCCAAUGCAGACAUCUAAAAUGGAACAAAGGCUUGCCGCUAUAGGAUGGGGAUGCGUCUGAUUAGGUUGUUGGCGGGGUAACGGCCCACCAAGCCUUCGAUCAGUAGGGGUUCUGAGAGGAAGGUCCCCCACAUUGGAACUGAGACACGGUCCAAACUCCUACGGGAGGCAGCAGUGAGGAAUAUUGGUCAAUGGGCGAGAGCCUGAACCAGCCAAGUAGCGUGCAGGAAGACGGCCCUAUGGGUUGUAAACUGCUUUUAUAUAGGGAUAAAGUGCACUACGUGUAGUGUUUUGUAGGUACUAUAUGAAUAAGGACCGGCUAAUUCCGUGCCAGCAGCCGCGGUAAUACGGAAGGUCCGGGCGUUAUCCGGAUUUAUUGGGUUUAAAGGGAGCGCAGGCCGACUGGUAAGCGUGACGUGAAAUGUAGCCGCUCAACGGCUGAACUGCGUCGCGAACUGUCAGUCUUGAGUGAGUUCGAUGUUGGCGGAAUUCGUGGUGUAGCGGUGAAAUGCUUAGAUAUCACGAAGAACUCCGAUUGCGAAGGCAGCCAACAAGGCCUUUACUGACGCUAAAGCUCGAAGGUGCGGGUAUCGAACAGGAUUAGAUACCCUGGUAGUCCCCU
Molecule: ribosomal RNA, 805 nt
Filed under: uncultured Bacteroidota bacterium
Lineage: Bacteria; Pseudomonadati; Bacteroidota
Description: bacterial SSU rRNA
Rfam family: Bacterial small subunit ribosomal RNA
Source: RNAcentral